CCUACGGGUGGCAGCAGUGGGGAAUAUUGCGCAAUGGGCGAAAGCCUGACGCAGCGACGCCGCGUGAGGGAUGACGGUCUUCGGAUCGUAAACCUCUGUCAGCAGGGAAGAACGGUCACUGUGCUAAUCAGCAGUGAAUUGACGGUACCUGCAAAGGAAGCACCGGCUACCUCCGUACCAGCAGCCGCGGUAAUACGGAGGGUGCGAGCGUUAAUCGGAAUUACUGGGCGUAAAGGGCUCGUAGGCGGUAUGUCAAGUCAAGGGUGAAAUCCCCGCGCUCAACGGUGGAACUGCCUUUGAAACUGGCAAACUUGAGUGUGUGAGAGGAUAGUGGAAUUCCAGGUGUAGGAGUGAAAUCCGUAGAUAUCUGGAGGAACAUCAGUGGCGAAGGCGAGUAUCUGGCACAUAACUGACGCUGAGGAGCGAAAGCGUGGGUAGCAAACAGGAUUAGAUACCCUAGUAGUC
Molecule: ribosomal RNA, 465 nt
Filed under: uncultured bacterium
Lineage: Bacteria
Description: partial 16S ribosomal RNA
Rfam family: Bacterial small subunit ribosomal RNA
Source: RNAcentral